CAGGAAGAUGUGCAGCACCAGCAGGGUUGAAAGUGUGGUCUGAUCCGUUUGGCAGGAAAUGAGGCUGUCAGCAAGUCUGAUGAGGAAAGUGGACAUCUUCAUCCUGUGCACUCUGCAGUGAGGACAAUAGAUGGCUCACUGUGGCAGCCUGGCUGAGAGGGAACUCUCAUGCUGCUAGCCAGAGCCCUUGUGAUAGAGACUGUGUGCAAAGACAGUGCUUCCCUUAACUCCCUGGAGAACCUGAACAGAUGACACCAUUAAGAAGUACCUUGUGGCUCCAUUGACUUUGCAGGAGCAGAGCCAGCCUGCAAGGCUGUUUGCGGAUCUGCAGCUCAUGCAGUCUUUAUCACGUCCCAGCUGAGAUGUGAACACCAGCAACCUGUGGCUCAAGGCCCUCGGCUGCUUUGACACCUUCUGAAUAAGCGAUUUUAGUGCAGAUGGCCCAGCCACACUGCCUCCAAUGGCUCUUUGAGGAUGUUUCGAUUGAUAAAGCUGUUUGAAAACAGGAUCCUUGGCACUGUUCAGAAUGUUAUACUGCUCAGCUUAACCAUCUCAUCGAAAGUCCACCGUGUGUGGAAGUAAAUAGAAGCAAGGUCACUCUAGACUGUACCACACACAGUUGAAUCCUGUGUAGCCUGCAGUAUUAAAAAUGUAUUCUCU
Molecule: long non-coding RNA, 660 nt
Filed under: Rattus norvegicus (Norway rat)
Lineage: Eukaryota; Metazoa; Chordata; Mammalia; Rodentia; Muridae
Description: long non-coding RNA NONRATT032020
Source: RNAcentral